RNAcentral lists this ribosomal RNA (467 nucleotides) under uncultured bacterium. Its description in RNAcentral is "partial 16S ribosomal RNA". It matches the Rfam family "Bacterial small subunit ribosomal RNA", at positions 28 to 507 of the family's 1533-position model. The record is from RNAcentral.
GAUGAACGCUGGCGGCGUGCUUAACACAUGCAAGUCGAACGGAAAGGCCCAAGCUUGCUUGGGUACUCGAGUGGCGAACGGGUGAGUAACACGUGGGUGAUCUGCCCCGCACUUCGGGAUAAGCCUGGGAAACUGGGUCUAAUACCGGAUAGGACAGUGGUUUGGAUGCCAUUGUGGAAAGUUUUUUCGGUGUGGGAUGAGCUCGCGGCCUAUAAGCUUGUUGGGGGGGGAAUGGCCUACCAAGGCGUCGACGGGGAGCCGGCCGGGGAGGGGGGACGGCCACAUUGGGACUGAGAUACGGCCCAGACUCCUACGGGAGGCAGCAGUGGGGAAUAUUGCACAAUGGGCGCAAGCCUGAUGCAGCGACGCCGCGUGGGGGAUGACGGCCUUCGGGUUGUAAAAUCCUUUCGCUAGGGACGAAGCGUUAUGUGACGGUACCUAGAGAAGAAGCACCGGCUAACUACGUG